RNAcentral lists this ribosomal RNA (963 nucleotides) under Enterococcus avium. RNAcentral's name for it is "partial 23S ribosomal RNA". It matches the Rfam family "Bacterial large subunit ribosomal RNA", at positions 1 to 966 of the family's 2925-position model. The record is from RNAcentral. Lineage: Bacteria; Bacillati; Bacillota; Bacilli; Lactobacillales; Enterococcaceae.
GGUUAAGUGAAUAAGGGCGCACGGUGGAUGCCUUGGCACUAGGAGCCGAUGAAGGACGGGACUAACACCGAUAUGCUUCGGGGAGCUGUAAGUAAGCUUUGAUCCGGAGAUUUCCGAAUGGGGAAACCCAGCAUCUUUUAUAGGAUGUUACUUUUCAGUGAAUACAUAGCUGAUUAGAGGUAGACGCAGAGAACUGAAACAUCUAAGUACCUGCAGGAAGAGAAAGAAAAAUCGAUUCCCUGAGUAGCGGCGAGCGAAACGGGAAAAGCCCAAACCAAGAGGCUUGCCUCUUGGGGUUGUAGGACUCCGAUAUGGUAGUCCAGUGAGAUAGUCGAAGGACCUGGAAAGGUCUGCUAGAAAGGGUAAAAGCCCCGUAGACAAAAUUUGACUGGCACCUAGGAGGAUCCUGAGUACGGCGGAACACGAGGAAUUCCGUCGGAAUCCGGGAGGACCAUCUCCCAAGGCUAAAUACUCCCUAGUGACCGAUAGUGAACCAGUACCGUGAGGGAAAGGUGAAAAGCACCCCGGAAGGGGAGUGAAAUAGAUCCUGAAACCGUGUGCCUACAACAAGUUAGAGCCCGUUAAUGGGUGAUAGCGUGCCUUUUGUAGAAUGAACCGGCGAGUUACGAUUACUUGCGAGGUUAAGUUGAAAAGACGGAGCCGCAGCGAAAGCGAGUCUGAAUAGGGCGAAUGAGUAAGUGGUCGUAGACCCGAAACCAUGUGAUCUACCCAUGUCCAGGUUGAAGGUGCGGUAAAACGCACUGGAGGACCGAACCCACGUACGUUGAAAAGUGCGGGGAUGAGGUGUGGGUAGCGGAGAAAUUCCAAACGAACUUGGAGAUAGCUGGUUCUCUCCGAAAUAGCUUUAGGGCUAGCCUCAGAGUAAGAAUGAUGGAGGUAGAGCACUGUUUGGACUAGGGGCCCAUCUCGGGUUACCGAAUUCAGAUAAACUCCGAAUGCCAU